Molecule: transfer RNA, 72 nt
Filed under: Ornithorhynchus anatinus (platypus)
Lineage: Eukaryota; Metazoa; Chordata; Mammalia; Monotremata; Ornithorhynchidae
Rfam family: tRNA
About the family: Transfer RNA (tRNA) molecules are approximately 80 nucleotides in length.
Source: Rfam by way of RNAcentral
AGCAGCGUGGCUUAGUGGAAAGAGGACAGGUUUGGGAGUCUGAGAUCAUGGGUUCUAAUCCCAGCGCUGCCA